This 483-nucleotide ribosomal RNA is filed under the name uncultured bacterium. RNAcentral's name for it is "partial 16S ribosomal RNA". It matches the Rfam family "Bacterial small subunit ribosomal RNA", at positions 29 to 506 of the family's 1533-position model. The record is from RNAcentral.
AUUGAACGCUGGCGGCAUGCUUUACACAUGCAAGUCGAACGGCAGCGCGGGCUUUGGCCUGGCGGCGAGUGGCGAACGGGUGAGUAAUGCAUCGGAACGUGCCCAGUAGUGGGGGAUAGCCCGGCGAAAGCCGGAUUAAUACCGCAUACGACCUGAGGGUGAAAGCGGGGGACCGAAAGGCCUCGCGCUAUUGGAGCGGCCGAUGUCGGAUUAGCUAGUUGGUGGGGUAAAGGCUUACCAAGGCGACGAUCCGUAGCUGGUCUGAGAGGACGACCAGCCACACUGGGACUGAGACACGGCCCAGACUCCUACGGGAGGCAGCAGUGGGGAAUUUUGGACAAUGGGGGCAACCCUGAUCCAGCCAUGCCGCGUGCGAGAAGAAGGCCUUCGGGUUGUAAACCGCUUUUGUUCGGGAAGAAAUCCUCUGGGCUAAUACCCCGGGGGGAUGACGGUACCGGAAGAAUAAGCACCGGCUAACUACGU